This 17-nucleotide microRNA is filed under the name Corchorus olitorius. RNAcentral's name for it is "hsa-miR-45". The record is from RNAcentral. Lineage: Eukaryota; Viridiplantae; Streptophyta; Magnoliopsida; Malvales; Malvaceae.
GGAUGGAGGAGGUGUCG